Molecule: non-coding RNA, 76 nt
Organism: Dallia pectoralis (Alaska blackfish)
Lineage: Eukaryota; Metazoa; Chordata; Actinopteri; Esociformes; Umbridae
Source: the annotation of a GenBank genome assembly
GCUGUGAUGGCCGAGUGGUUAAGGCUUUGAAAUCCAAUGGGGUUUCCCCGCAUAGGUUCGAACCCGGCUCUCAGCG